AGAGUACGUGAAACCGUUCAGGGGUAAACCUGAGAAACCCGAAAGGUCGAAAGGGGAGAUUCAGCGUGUCUCGAUUGCGGCGCUGGACGGUCGUGCGACGGCAGGCGUACGCGUUUGCCGCACCUUCCGUUCUCCGAACCGUAGCCGAACGCGUGCACUUCUCCCCCUGUAGGACGUCGCGAUCCGUUGGGUGCCGGUCUAAGGCCCGCGAUGGAGCCCGUCCGGACGGUCUUGCCGUUCCGGACGAACUCGCGGUGUUUCCCGGUCGGCUCGCUCGACGGUAUACAGAUGGCGCGGGGCCGCUAUUUUAUAGUUAGCGUCUGACCGACGGCAAGCGCUCUCGUCGUGACGGUGAUCGGACCUGGUGCCGGUCCUGUCCCCGAGUGGCUGUUCGCUGUCGUGUUCUUGGACAGACCUCGUUGAAACGCCGAUCUGCGACGCUAUAGCUUUGGGUACUUUCAGGACCCGUCUUG
This 473-nucleotide ribosomal RNA is filed under the name Branchus sp. n. ADS-2012. Its description in RNAcentral is "eukaryotic LSU rRNA". Lineage: Eukaryota; Metazoa; Arthropoda; Insecta; Coleoptera; Tenebrionidae. The record is from RNAcentral.